CCCACAAGCCCUUGCUCCACUUGCCCAGAAUGCUUUGUAAUCUCAUCUGGGCCGAGAACGAGAAGGUAUUUAACCUGGUGGCAAAGGUUUUUGGGGCUCUUUUGGACUUCCGUUUUGGAGCAGAGACAUGGCUCUUUCCAUAAUGUAGAAAAGAGUUCAAGUGGAAUUCAUAAGACGUGGAAGCAAAGAAUUACAGAAGUUCAGUCAGAAAGGAAUUUUGAGUCAUGCUUGACUCUUCAUGAUCCCAUUUGGAAUUUUCUUGGCCAAGAUAUUGGAAUGGUUUACCAUUUUCUUCUCCAGCUCACUUUAGAUGAGGAAACUGAGACAAAGAGGGUUGUGACUUGCUCAAGACUUCAAGCUAAAUCCUCAGAAGGCCACAUGUUGUUAACAUCAUCUCAGAAUUAA
This 405-nucleotide long non-coding RNA is filed under the name Monodelphis domestica (gray short-tailed opossum). RNAcentral's name for it is "lncRNA (ENSMODG00000043463.1)". The record is from RNAcentral. Lineage: Eukaryota; Metazoa; Chordata; Mammalia; Didelphimorphia; Didelphidae.